CCAAGUAUUUUCUCUAGGAGGCCACGCCCCGAUUAACCCCAUCCCAUGGGAGUCCCUCCCCUCAUUCCACAAUCCUCUAUCCUGUGGAAGUCUCUCCAUCUGGUGUAUCUGCUGAUGCUUUGCUUGCAGACUUCCCAAGUUCCUAAGUCACUUCUCCUGCAUUUCACAGGUAAGUUUUUCUCCCAAACUUGUAUGAGUUCCUAGACAAGGGUGAUAUUUUCUGAUGUCUUCUCCCGCAUUACACACACACACACACACACACACAUUCUUUAUCUCUUCUGAUUUCCACAACCACCCUGAGAGGGUAGGUAGCCAAUCAAUGCCCCUCAUUAACUAAUGAGCCAGGGUGUCCUCAGCCUCCCCUCCUGCUCUUGUCCUUGCUCCUCUGAAUGUUCUGAAGGUUGCUGAAAGGCACAGCUCCAGCACUGAGGGCCAGAAAAUCUUAGAAA
Molecule: long non-coding RNA, 449 nt
Filed under: Homo sapiens (human)
Lineage: Eukaryota; Metazoa; Chordata; Mammalia; Primates; Hominidae
Description: non-protein coding lnc-SYT6-1:1
Source: RNAcentral